CCUACGGGGGGCUGCAGUGGGGAAUAUUGGACAAUGGGGGGAACCCUGAUCCAGCCAUGCCGCGUGUGUGAAGAAGGCCCUCGGGUUGUAAAGCACUUUCAGUGAGGAAGAACGCCUGGUGGUUAAUACCCAUCAGUAAAGACAUCACUCACAGAAGAAGCACCGGCUAACUCCGUGCCAGCAGCCGCGGUAAUACGGAGGGUGCGAGCGUUAAUCGGAAUUACUGGGCGUAAAGCGCGCGUAGGUGGCUUGAUAAGCCGGUUGUGAAAGCCCCGGGCUCAACCUGGGAACGGCAUCCGGAACUGUCAAGCUAGAGUGCAGGAGAGGAAGGUAGAAUUCCCGGUGUAGCGGUGAAAUGCGUAGAGAUCGGGAGGAAUACCAGUGGCGAAGGCGGCCUUCUGGACUGACACUGACACUGAGGUGCGAAAGCGUGGGUAGCAAACAGGAUUAGAUACCCGAGUAGUC
Molecule: ribosomal RNA, 465 nt
Filed under: Vreelandella stevensii
Lineage: Bacteria; Pseudomonadati; Pseudomonadota; Gammaproteobacteria; Oceanospirillales; Halomonadaceae
Description: partial 16S ribosomal RNA
Rfam family: Bacterial small subunit ribosomal RNA
Source: RNAcentral